ACGGGAAACCAGAAGGUAAAGAUUGAAAUCAAUUGAUAGAAGAAAGGCGCAAUUACAUUGUACAUAGACGCAUAGUUUUAAUGAACAACACAAGAAGGCGUAUGUAAUAUACAAAUAAAUUAAAAAAUAUAUCCCAGCAUCAUAGAAAAAGCCCAAGAGAUGUCGCUUUCAUAUAAUUCAGUUAGUCAUUCCAUACAGAAACAAUGGAGCCCAAUUUUUCUAACCUCUGAACUCUGCAAAAAAGAAUGCCUAAUUUUAUCCAAUACCCAGAACUCAAUAAAAAGAAUGCCUAAUUUUAAAAGCUUCCAAGCCACCGUCACAGAUCAGAUCUCAAUACCAUCACCAUCGUCACACACCACCAUCCCGCCGCCGAUUCACAACACAAUAAGAUCUGUAGUAGAACACAGAUCUAGAUCUGAAGAAAUCAUGCAACAUCUUUUGUAACUCUCUUUCGUGUAUCUAGGAAUGGAAAUUUAGUAAGGAAGGAUGAGGAGAGAGAAUAGAGGAAAAAGAUGGGUGAGAUCUGAAGUUUUUGAAGUUUGAAGUUUGAAUAGAAAUUUGAAGUUUUUCUUUUCUUUUCCAUGUCUUUUGUCCACGUUUCAGUUGUUUAGAAAUAAAUUAUCUGUUUGUAUCUCACUUUUUUUAACAGGAGGAACAUAGUUAACCC
Molecule: long non-coding RNA, 667 nt
Filed under: Panax ginseng (ginseng)
Lineage: Eukaryota; Viridiplantae; Streptophyta; Magnoliopsida; Apiales; Araliaceae
Description: long non-coding RNA (PGIN_LNC008878)
Source: RNAcentral